UUUUUUCUAAUAUUAGUAUUUAUAUUCUAGAAUGUGUGGUGAUAAUGGAUAUAAAGUACUAAAUGGUGGCCCCAUUGCCGGCAAUGCUAUUUUUAGCAAUUAUCUCCUUAAAAGGCGCUUUUAAUAAACUAAUUAUGGAAAAACUGCUGUUGUCUAAUUGAAGCUCGAUAUCUAUUUGCGAUUUUACCGCACUCAAAUAUAUAUGGUCCCAUGGCUUUUCUUGGUGAAUUUUAGGGUUUUUCACGAUACCUGACGAUUUCGCAGAAAAAUUUCCCUAACUUUGAGCAACAUAAAAAAAAUAUUUCCGGCCCUUCAUACUAUACAUUUAAGGACAAAUUUGUGCUUGCAUGAAACUUCAUUCAUAAUACUUUCCAGAAGAAAAAUAUAUAAAAGAUAUAACAACCAAUCACAGAGAGCCAUCUAUUUUUAUCUCUAUGUCAUGUUCCCUUCAUAAAAUGGCUGCGCCCAUGUAAUUGUAUUUGGUACAUUGUAACCUAAUAAACAGAUCAGGGCAGACGAGCAGGAACUGCAACAGUUCCACCAUCUUAUCAUUUGCCCUGCCACACCCAUAUUUAACCCGUUGGGCCAAUACUGUCCAGUGAGUGAGGAGGUGCUGUACUCUAUACAAG
This 629-nucleotide long non-coding RNA is filed under the name Mytilus galloprovincialis (Mediterranean mussel). The record is from RNAcentral. Lineage: Eukaryota; Metazoa; Mollusca; Bivalvia; Mytilida; Mytilidae.